Long non-coding RNA from Lathyrus oleraceus (garden pea), 448 nucleotides. RefSeq lists it as uncharacterized. The transcript has 3 exons. NCBI's taxonomy places the organism in Eukaryota, Viridiplantae, Streptophyta, Magnoliopsida, Fabales, Fabaceae. The record is from RefSeq and is a predicted model, not a curated record.
AAGACUUAAAGCCAAUGCGCCAUAGAUUAGUAGACGCAACCAAUAAUAGCCUGCUUCGCGAUACAUAUUCACGAAAGAUCUUCUUGUAAGAAUCAGACACUGAGUUAGAAAAUCAGCAUGGCUUUUCUUCUCCAUUGAAUGAAUCAUACGAUUUAACAAGCAUGUGAAUAGCUUCAUCUGUGCUUAGCCCUCCACCUAAUCCUUUCUCAGGGUCCUGCAAAUAAUCGUGAUCAGAAGGACUCUGGAGACUUGGGCAUGGAAAACCAUUUGAUGAAAAAAACUGCACAAAAAAAAGUAGCAGUAAAUCAAAAUCAAAGUAAAAAUGUUGAAUCUCAGUGGAUAGAAGCAGCAAGGUCACUCUGUCACUUACAAUACUCGUUUGUUUAAUUUAAAAAUAUUGAUAUACAUCUAUAUACAAUAUACAGAUAGUGGUUGAAUUGAAGUAUCU